This 528-nucleotide ribosomal RNA is filed under the name Lysinibacillus parviboronicapiens. RNAcentral's name for it is "bacterial SSU rRNA". It matches the Rfam family "Bacterial small subunit ribosomal RNA", at positions 67 to 594 of the family's 1533-position model. Lineage: Bacteria; Bacillati; Bacillota; Bacilli; Caryophanales; Bacillaceae. The record is from RNAcentral.
UGGCUCGGGCGGUUGUGCCACUCCUUAAUAGCGUUAGCGGCGGACGGGUGAGUAACACGUGGGCAACCUACCCUAUAGUUUGGGAUAACUCCGGGAAACCGGGGCUAAUACCGAAUAAUCUCUUUUGCUUCAUGGUGAAAGACUGAAAGACGGUUUCGGCUGUCGCUAUAGGAUGGGCCCGCGGCGCAUUAGCUAGUUGGUGAGGUAACGGCUCACCAAGGCGACGAUGCGUAGCCGACCUGAGAGGGUGAUCGGCCACACUGGGACUGAGACACGGCCCAGACUCCUACGGGAGGCAGCAGUAGGGAAUCUUCCACAAUGGGCGAAAGCCUGAUGGAGCAACGCCGCGUGAGUGAGAAGGUUUCGGAUCGUAAACUCUGUUGUAGGGAAGACAAGUACAGUAGUAACUGGCUGUACCUUGACGUACCUUAUAGAAAGCACGGCUACUACGUGCAGCAGCCGCGUAUACGUAGGUGGCAGCGUGUCGGAAUAUGGGCGUAAGCGCGCGCAGGCGUCUUUAGUCUGAUG